RNAcentral lists this ribosomal RNA (916 nucleotides) under uncultured bacterium. RNAcentral's name for it is "bacterial SSU rRNA". It matches the Rfam family "Bacterial small subunit ribosomal RNA", at positions 56 to 984 of the family's 1533-position model. The record is from RNAcentral.
UGCGAGUCGAGCGAGAAAUUCCUUCGGGAAUGAGUAGAGCGGCGGACGGGUGAGUACAAUAUGGAUAACCUACCCACAGGUCCGGGAUAACUUGGGGAAACCGAAGCUAAUACCGGAUAAGACCACGACAACUGCGGUUGUUGAGGUAAAAGUUUUUCGCCUAUGGAUGGGUCCAUGCUCCAUCAGGUUGUUGGUGAGGUAAAAGCUCACCAAGCCUAAGACGGAUAGCUGGCCUUAGCGGGUGAUCAGCCACACGGGGACUGAGACACGGCCCCGACUCCUACGGGAGGCAGCAGUGAGGAAUCUUGGGCAAUGGGCGCAAGCCUGACCCAGCCAUGCCGCGUGAGGGAAGAAGGCUUUCGAGUCGUAAACCUCUGUCGGGGGGGACGAUGGGACUUUUGUCUUGACGGUACCUCCAAAGGAAGCCCCGGCUAACUCCGUGCCAGCAGCCGCGGUAAUACGGAGGGGGCAAGCGUUGCUCGGAUUUACUGGGCGUAAAGGGUCCGCAGGCGGUCGGGCAAGUUAGAUGUGAAAGUUCAAGACUCAAUCUUGGAAUUGCAUCUAAAACUGCUUGACUAGAGCCCAAGAGAGGUUGGCGGAAUUCCCGGUGUAGCGGUGAAAUGCGUAUAUAUCGGGAAGAACAUCAGUGGCGAAGGCGGCCAACUGGCUUGGUACUGACGCUCAGGGACGAAAGCGUGGGUAGCGAACCGGAUUAGAUACCCGGGUAGUCCACGCCGUAAACGAUGGAUGCUAGGUGUGGGUAUUUUUUCUCCUUGCCAAAGCUAACGCAUUAAGCAUCCCGCCUGGGGAGUACGGUCGCAAGGCUGAAACUCAAAGGAAUUGGCGGGGACCCGCACAAGCGGUGGAGCACGUGGUUUUAAUUCGAUGAUAAGCGAAGAAUCUUACCAAGACUUGA